CGGAGUGUAGCGCAGCCUGGUAGCGCACCUGCUUCGGGAGCAGGGGGUCGGAGGUUCGAAUCCUCUCACUCCGACCA
This 77-nucleotide transfer RNA is filed under the name Rhodovulum sp. Its description in RNAcentral is "tRNA-Pro". It matches the Rfam family "tRNA". Rfam says of the family: Transfer RNA (tRNA) molecules are approximately 80 nucleotides in length. Lineage: Bacteria; Pseudomonadati; Pseudomonadota; Alphaproteobacteria; Rhodobacterales; Paracoccaceae. RNAcentral also lists the same sequence under 119 other names. The record is from RNAcentral.